CCUACGGGUGGCAGCAGUGGGGAAUAUUGCACAAUGGGGGGAACCCUGAUGCAGCGACGCCGCGUGAGUGAAGAAGUAUUUCGGUAUGUAAAGCUCUAUCAGCAGGGAAGAAAAUGACGGUACCUGACUAAGAAGCCCCGGCUAACUACGUGCCAGCAGCCGCGGUACUACGUAGGGGGCAAGCGUUAUCCGGAUUUACUGGGUGUAAAGGGAGAGCAGACGGCUGUGCAAGUCUGGAGUGAAAGGCGGGGGCCCAACCCCCGGACUGCUCUGGAAACUGUAAAGCGGGAGUGCAGGAGAGGUAAGCGGAAUUCCUAGGGUAGCGGUGAAAUGCGUAGAUAUUAGGAGGAACACCAGUGGCGAAGGCGGCUUACUGGACUGCAACUGACGUUGAGGCUCGAAAGCGUGGGGAGCAAACAGGAUUAGAUACCCUUGUAGUC
Molecule: ribosomal RNA, 440 nt
Filed under: uncultured bacterium
Lineage: Bacteria
Description: partial 16S ribosomal RNA
Rfam family: Bacterial small subunit ribosomal RNA
Source: RNAcentral